AUCGCGUUCGGUUCGGGUAAUACC
RNAcentral lists this non-coding RNA (24 nucleotides) under Arabidopsis thaliana (thale cress). The record is from RNAcentral. Lineage: Eukaryota; Viridiplantae; Streptophyta; Magnoliopsida; Brassicales; Brassicaceae.